Long non-coding RNA from Lycium barbarum (goji berry), 2088 nucleotides. RefSeq lists it as uncharacterized. The record is from RefSeq and is a predicted model, not a curated record. The transcript is spliced from 2 exons. Lineage: Eukaryota; Viridiplantae; Streptophyta; Magnoliopsida; Solanales; Solanaceae.
UUACAAGUCAUUAUACAGUAUCAUACAGUCUAAACAAAUAAUACAAAUGUUAUUAAACCACAACAAACGAUAUAGUCUAUCCAAAUAUUGUGUUCAUUAAUACAAUACAAUACAACACUAUACUGUACCAUACCAUACUAUACAUUAAUGAACCACGUGAAACAACCAUCCAAACAGAGGAUUAGGGUCGAAUGGUUGACGUCCAAGGAGGUCCGUUUCCACCUAGGAGCAGAGUAUGGUGGCUGAGACUUAAAAGGAGUAUUUAUAGAGGACGAAUCAAGCUAGGGUUUCGUGAGCGGGAAUCUGAUUUUGAAAUGCAGAUAAUCAGUCCUUUAGAAUCAAAAUCUCAAAGCCUCUUGUGUUACCUAAAUCGUUGAAUAUGAGAGAGAAAAGGGAGCUUUGAACGCUGAGACACGCCAAAACAACCUGAAAGGACGAAAUUUUGCACGGACAAAGCUGUGAUAUUUAACCAUGGCUGAAAAUGGAAGCAGGGCUGAUGGAUCGGGUCGGGUCAGCGGGUCGUGAGAUGGGUUUGGGUUUAAAAGAGGGAUGGGCUGCUCAUUUUUGGGCUCUUCAUCUGGGUUUAAAAGGGGCUGAUGGGUUGAGGGAUAUUUGGGCUAGGAAUUAAACUUCUCUUUCCUUGUAUUUCUUUCAGCCUCUCUAUAUUAACAAAAGCAAACUAUAUAUAGGGCAAAAUACAUAUAUAUAUAUACAUAAUAAGCACCACAUAUUACGAAACAUAACGAGAGUUUUCAGUUUUCAAAACAUAACAAUAAAAAUCUUACGAAACGUAUACAAAUAUGGUGAAACACAUAUACAGUAAUUGACUGCUCGCGGAAAUCACGCUUUGAACGUAUUCUUCCUAAUCUUCUUUCCAAAAUUAUCUCCUAGUUCGAAAUUUUCUCCUCAUUUCACUCGAUGAAUCCAAAUAGAUUGAUUAAGCGACUCAACAUCAAUACACAAUCAACUUCUCAAUUAUAUUCGAUUGGAAUUUCAGAAAAUCAUCCAUUGUCGGGUUAAAAAAAUUGAGCAGGCUAUUUUAUCCCCUGUUUUUCUCCGGUUUUUGGUCUAGGAAUCGAGUGUGAUUGAAGAACGGCACAUUCAAAAUCGAUACACAAUCAAAUCUCAAUUACACGCCAUUGAAAUUUCAGAAAACAUUCAAUUUCGAGUUCAAAGAAACCAACAGAAUUCAUACCCAUUCGACUUCAAAAUCAUACGGAUUAAAGCUUUCACCGACUAACGAUGAUGGAUAGCAUCUUUCAUUCAAUUUUGAUACAACAUGGUGGAAGAUGGGACUUUUUUUUCUCCAAUAAAUAACAUGUAAAUAUAUGUGAAUCGUGAAUACAUUAUAUAGAAUCUGAGAAAAGGUUGUGAUUUAGUUAAGGAAAAAGUUGUGUAUAAAAAUAUUAUUUAUAUGGUAUAAAAGUUAUGAUGUGUAUCUUGUUCAUGAAAAAGUGGUGUGUAAUUUGUUCUGGAAAAGGCUAUGUAUAUAAAUCGUGUAUGAAUUAUGUAUAACAUACGUAUAUAAAGUUGUAGGAUAAAAGUUGUAUGUAUUUGAUUCACGAAAAGGUUGUUUCUUAAAAUAUGUAUGAAUUAUGUACAAAGUAUGUGUGUAUAUAUAUUCAUAGUGUGUGUGCCCCUCUCUCUUUGAUAUAUGGUAUAUCAGAUAAAUAUGUAGGUUUUAAAAUUGAUGAGCUAGUAUUCUAGGUUGAUUUGGCAACUCUUCUCUUUCUCAUAUGCUUUCUGUUUUCUGCUUUAGGGCAUUGAACAAUGAAUUUGAUAUCGCCACCUGUCACCAGACCAUUAGCUGUUUCGAAUUUUGAUUUUGAAUUCAGAUUUUCUAAAACUAUUAUUUGUUUGGACUGGAUAGUGUUGCUAGCGACUGAGUAUAUCUUUUGGAGCUUAUAUCUCAAUUUUGAAGGUGUUUGGUGAAAAUUAAAGGGUUGUUUUACACAUAUAUAGUUUGAAUACAGUUUUGGAUGCAUGUAUGAAUUCUGUAUUAAUUUUGUAUAAAGUUCAUGUUUAGAUUUCUGAAAAUUUGUAUAAAUUUGAUAAUGUUAAGAGUAGAAACUUGUUACUUGAGUACAA